AAAUGAAUUGACGGGCACCCGCACAAGCGGUGGAGCAUGCUGUUUAAUUCGAAGAUACGCGAAGAACCUUACCUAGACUUGACAUCCCGAGCAAAGCUAUAGAAAUAUAGUGGAGGUUACCUCGGUGACAGGUGGUGCAUGGUUGUCGUCAGCUCGUGUCGUGAGAUGUUCGGUUAAGUCCGAUAACGAGCGCAACCCUCGUCUUUAGUUACUAACGAUUCGGUCGAGGACUCUAAAGAUACUGCCGGUAAUAAACCGGAGGAAGGUGGGGAUGACGUCAAAUCAUCAUGCCCCUUACGUCUAGGGCUACAGGCGUGCUACAAUGGCUGAUACAAAGAGACGCAAUACCGUGAGGUGGAGCAAAUCUCCAAAGUCAGUCUCAGUUCGGAUUGAAGUCUGCAACUCGACUUCAUGAAGCUGGAAUCGCUAGUAAUCCUGAAUCAGAAUGUCAGGGUGAAUACGUUCCCGGGUGUUGUACACACCGCCCGU
This 489-nucleotide ribosomal RNA is filed under the name uncultured bacterium. RNAcentral describes it as "bacterial SSU rRNA". It matches the Rfam family "Bacterial small subunit ribosomal RNA", at positions 903 to 1397 of the family's 1533-position model. The record is from RNAcentral.